This 492-nucleotide ribosomal RNA is filed under the name uncultured bacterium. Its description in RNAcentral is "partial 16S ribosomal RNA". It matches the Rfam family "Bacterial small subunit ribosomal RNA", at positions 29 to 507 of the family's 1533-position model. The record is from RNAcentral.
AGUGGACGCUGGCGGUAGGCCUAACACAUGCAAGUCGAACGGCAGCACAGUAAGAGCUUGCUCUUACGGGUGGCGAGUGGCGGACGGGUGAGGAAUACAUCGGAAUCUACUUUUUCGUGGGGGAUAACGUAGGGAAACUUACGCUAAUACCGCAUACGACCUACGGGUGAAAGCAGGGGAUCUUCGGACCUUGCGCGAUUGAAUGAGCCGAUGUCGGAUUAGCUAGUUGGCGGGGUAAAGGCCCACCAAGGCGACGAUCCGUAGCUGGUCUGAGAGGAUGAUCAGCCACACUGGAACUGAGACACGGUCCAGACUCCUACGGGAGGCCGCAGUGGGGAAUUUUUGACAAUGGGCGCAAGCCUGAUCCCGCCAUACCGCGUGGGUGAAGAAGGCCUUCGGGUUGUAAAGCCCUUUUGUUGGGAAAGAAAAGCAGCAGGUUAAUACCCCGCUGUUCUGACGGUACCCAAAGAAUAAGCACCGGCUAACUUCGUG